AAUUCAAUGGAAUCGACGGGCUGCCUCCAAAUGGAAAAGAGUUGACGGGCUGCCUCCAAUAUGAUUAGCUUUUACCCCGGGAGGAUGAUGGUACCUGAAGAAUAAGCACCGGCUAACUACGUGCCAGCAGCCGCGGUAAUACGUAGGGUGCGAGCGUUAAUCGGAAUUACUGGGCGUAAAGCGUGCGCAGGCGGCUUUGCAAGACAGAUGUGAAAUCCCCGGGCUCAACCUGGGAACUGCAUUUGUGACUGCAAGGCUACAGUACGGCAGAGGGGGAUGGAAUUCCGCGUGUACCAGUGAAAUGCGUAGAUCUGCGGAGGAACACCAAUGGCGAAGGCAAUCCCCUGGGCCUGUACUGACGCUCAUGCACGAAAGCGUGGGGAGCAAACAGGAUUAGAUACCCUGGUAGUCCACGCCCUAAACGAUGUCAACUGGUUGUUGGACGGCUUGCUGUUCAGUAACCAAGCUAACGCGUGAAGUUGACCGCCUGGGGAGUACGGCCGCAAGGUUGAAACUCAAA
Molecule: ribosomal RNA, 520 nt
Filed under: uncultured prokaryote
Description: bacterial SSU rRNA
Rfam family: Bacterial small subunit ribosomal RNA
Source: RNAcentral